Molecule: ribosomal RNA, 252 nt
Filed under: uncultured bacterium
Lineage: Bacteria
Description: partial 16S ribosomal RNA
Rfam family: Bacterial small subunit ribosomal RNA
Source: RNAcentral
UACCUUGAUGGCGACCGGCGCACGGGUGAGUAACACGUAUCCAACCUGCCGAUGACUCGGGGAUAGCCUUUCGAAAGAAAGAUUAAUACCCGAUGGCAUAGUUCUUCCGCAUGGUAGAACUAUUAAAGAAUUUCGGUCAUCGAUGGGGAUGCGUUCCAUUAGGUUGUUGGCGGGGUAACGGCCCACCAAGCCUUCGAUGGAUAGGGGUUCUGAGAGGAAGGUCCCCCACAUUGGAACUGAGACACGGUCCAA